This 247-nucleotide ribosomal RNA is filed under the name uncultured bacterium. Its description in RNAcentral is "partial 16S ribosomal RNA". It matches the Rfam family "Bacterial small subunit ribosomal RNA", at positions 28 to 261 of the family's 1533-position model. The record is from RNAcentral.
GACGAACGCUGGCGGCGUGCUUAACACAUGCAAGUCGAGCGGUAAGGCCCUUUCGGGGUACGACGAGGACGGCGAACGGGUGUAGUAACGACGUGGGUGACCUGCCCGUCAGCUCUGGGAUAAGCCUCGGGAAACUGGGUCGUAAUACCGGACGUAAUGACUUCAUGACGCACUGGUUGUGGAGGUCGGAAAGCCUUGUGCGGCUUGAGGAUGGGCCCGCGGCCUAUCAGCUUGUUGGUGGGGUGAU